GCCUUCUCUCAACUGGUUAAGAGCAUGGGGCUGAUAACACCAAGGUCGCGGGUUCGAUCCCCAUAUGGGGCA
This is a non-coding RNA of Podarcis lilfordi (Lilford's wall lizard), 72 nucleotides long. NCBI's taxonomy places the organism in Eukaryota, Metazoa, Chordata, Lepidosauria, Squamata, Lacertidae. The record is from the annotation of a GenBank genome assembly.